AUAUAAGGUUCAAAGGCUAAAUACGCCGCGUCAUGCGGCAACGCCUCUGUGACCUGCGUCGUGCAGG
This 67-nucleotide small RNA is filed under the name Domibacillus iocasae. RNAcentral's name for it is "Bacillaceae-1 RNA". It matches the Rfam family "Bacillaceae-1 RNA". Lineage: Bacteria; Bacillati; Bacillota; Bacilli; Caryophanales; Bacillaceae. The record is from Rfam by way of RNAcentral.